RNAcentral lists this ribosomal RNA (774 nucleotides) under Dodona egeon. RNAcentral describes it as "l2S ribosomal RNA". Lineage: Eukaryota; Metazoa; Arthropoda; Insecta; Lepidoptera; Riodinidae. The record is from RNAcentral.
AAAUAAAUUUUUUAUGAUUUAUAAAAUUCAUUAUAAAUUUAUUUUACAUACAAAUUUUAGUAUGAAUUUUUAAUUAUUUUAAAAAUAAUUAAUAAUUAAAGUAGUAAUUAUAUUUAAAAAUUUAAGAAAUUAAGAUUUAGUAAUAUUUAAAUUAAUAACAAAUUUUGUGCCAGCAGUUGCGGUUAUACAAAAAUUGAAUUGAAUUUUUUUAGUUUAUAAUAAUUGAUUUAUAAUUUAAAAUAAAUAUAAAAUUAUUAAGUAAAAUUUUAAUUUUAUAAAAUUUCAUAUAAAGAUUAUGAUUUAAUAAAUUUACACUUAAACUAGGAUUAGAUACCCUAUUAUAAAAUUUUUAUGAAAAAUACUAAAAUAGUAAAUAAUAAUUUAUUGAAACUUAAAUAAUUUGGCGGUAUUUUAGUUCAUUUAGAGGAAUCUGUUUAAUAAUUGAUAAUCCACGAAUAAAUUUACUUAAUUUAAAAUUUUGUAUAUCGUUGUUAAAAAAAUAUUUUUUAAUAAUAAUAAUAUUUAAAAAUUUUUAUAAAAAUUAAUUCAGAUCAAGAUGCAGAUUAUAAUUAAGAAUAUAAUGGAUUACAAUAAAUUUAUUUAAAUGAAAAUAUAUUUUGAAAAAAAUAAUUGAAAGUGGAUUUAAAUGUAAUUUUAUUUAAUUUAAUAAAAUGAUUGAAAAUUAAAAUAUGUACAUAUUGCCCGUCACUUUCAUUUAAAAAUUGAAAUAAGUCGUAACAAAGUAGAAGUACUGGAAAGUGUUUCUAGAAUGAU